UCAGGCACAUGGAGAUGGGGUCCCAGGCUCAGAUGCUCUUUCUCCUGUUGCUCUGGAUCCCAGAUGCCCGAGGGGCCGUUGUGCUGACCCAGUCUCCAGCCUCUUUGGCUGUGUCUCCAGGAGAGAGAGUCACCAUGUCCUGCAGGGCCAGUCAGGAUAUUAGCAAAAGCAUACACUGGUACCAACAGAAACCAGGCCAGCCCCCUCGGCUCCUCAUUACUUAUGCAACCACCCUGCAGUCCGGGGUCCCUGCCCGGUUCAGUGGCAGUGGCUCUGGGACAGAUUUCUCUCUCACAAUCAGCAACACGGAGGCUGAGGACGCUGCAGUCUAUUACUGUCAGCAGAGCAGAAGCUUGCCUCCCACAGUGCUACAGCCCCAAACAAAAACCUGCCCAGCAGCUGCUGAAGGGGCAUCAGGGUCCCAGGAGUGUCUCCUUCCCCUCAGCCGGUUGGGGGGCAGCUUCUCUGGGCUGCCUCAGGGGGACGUUUCUUGAUCUGAGGAAGAUGCU
Antechinus flavipes (yellow-footed antechinus) is the source of this 509-nucleotide non-coding RNA. Lineage: Eukaryota; Metazoa; Chordata; Mammalia; Dasyuromorphia; Dasyuridae. The record is from the annotation of a RefSeq genome assembly.